This 107-nucleotide ribosomal RNA is filed under the name Citrobacter freundii. The record is from RNAcentral. RNAcentral also lists the same sequence under 8 other names. Lineage: Bacteria; Pseudomonadati; Pseudomonadota; Gammaproteobacteria; Enterobacterales; Enterobacteriaceae.
UGUAGCGCGGUGGUCCCACCUGACCCCAUGCCGAACUCAGAAGUGAAACGCCGUAGCGCCGAUGGUAGUGUGGGGUCUCCCCAUGCGAGAGUAGGGAACUGCCAGGC